This 86-nucleotide transfer RNA is filed under the name Verrucomicrobiota bacterium. RNAcentral describes it as "tRNA-Tyr". It matches the Rfam family "tRNA". Rfam says of the family: Transfer RNA (tRNA) molecules are approximately 80 nucleotides in length. RNAcentral also lists the same sequence under 5 other names. Lineage: Bacteria; Pseudomonadati; Verrucomicrobiota. The record is from RNAcentral.
GGUAGGUUAUCCAAGUGGCUAAAGGGUGCAGACUGUAAAUCUGUCGGCUAACGCCUUCAAUGGUUCGAAUCCAUUACCUACCACCA